GCAUAUAUCAAGGAGCAUUGGAGUCGUGGCCUAACAAUAUUUAAGAACACAUUUAUAAAAAACUUAUUAAGGAGAAGGUUGAUGGGAUUUCUACACCAAGGGAUGAAUAUGGUAUUGAAGUAAUAUAAGGAGACAUUAAAUUUGAAGAAACAUGCCAACAAGUGAAGCUGGAGACCUUAAAUUGAAAGAAACAUGUCAACAAAUGGAGCUGGAGACGUUAAGUUGGAGGACAAUGCCAACAAGGAGCUUAAGUUGAUGUUUUUGAGCUUAAGUUGACAUGGAGCUAAUUUUUAUGUUUUUAAACUUCAGAUAUGUUCAAUAUUAUUUGUAUACAUGUUAUUCAUUUCUGAAGGACAUACCAUUUUGAAAUGGUUGUGCAAUUAAAUGCAUAAGUAUAGUUAAUGAAUUAGUGUAAUUUGAAUGGA
This is a long non-coding RNA of Solanum tuberosum (potato), 425 nucleotides long. RefSeq lists it as uncharacterized. NCBI's taxonomy places the organism in Eukaryota, Viridiplantae, Streptophyta, Magnoliopsida, Solanales, Solanaceae. The record is from RefSeq and is a predicted model, not a curated record. The transcript has 2 exons.